UGCGUAGGCGGAGAAGUAAGUCAGUGGUGAAAGGCUGCCGCUUAACGGUAGGACUGCCAUUGAUACUGCUUUUCUUGAGUAUGGUUGAGGUAGGCGGAAUGUGUGGUGUAGCGGUGAAAUGCAUAGAUAUCACACAGAACACCGAUUGCGAAGGCAGCCUACUAAGCCAUCACUGACGCUGAGGCACGAAAGCGUGGGUAGCGAACAGGAUUAGAUACCCUGGUAGUCC
RNAcentral lists this ribosomal RNA (229 nucleotides) under uncultured bacterium. RNAcentral describes it as "partial 16S ribosomal RNA". It matches the Rfam family "Bacterial small subunit ribosomal RNA", at positions 568 to 796 of the family's 1533-position model. The record is from RNAcentral.